This 465-nucleotide ribosomal RNA is filed under the name uncultured bacterium. Its description in RNAcentral is "partial 16S ribosomal RNA". It matches the Rfam family "Bacterial small subunit ribosomal RNA", at positions 28 to 507 of the family's 1533-position model. The record is from RNAcentral.
GACGAACGCUGGCGGCGUGCUUAACACAUGCAAGUCGAACGGAAAGGCCCCUUCGGGGGUACUCGAGUGGCGAACAGGUGAGUAACACGUGAGUAACCUUCCCUUGACUUCGGGAUAACUUCAGGAAACUGGGGCUAAUACCGGAUAGGAAUCCUUGCUGCAUGGUGGGGGUUGGAAAGCUUCGGCGGUUUUGGAUGGACUCGCGGCUUAUCAGCUUGGUGGUGGGGUAGUGGCUUACCAAGGCUUUGACGGGUAGCCGGCCUGAGAGGGCGACCGGCCACAUUGGGACUGAGAUACGGCCCAGACUCCUACGGGAGGCAGCAGUGGGGAAUAUUGCACAAUGGGCGGAAGCCUGAUGCAGCAACGCCGCGUGCGGGAUGACGGCCUUCGGGUUGUAAACCGCUUUCAGCAGGGGCGAAGCUUGUGGUGACGGUACCUGCAGAAGAAGCACCGGCUAACUACGUG